CACGUAGGCACCAAGCGUUGUCCGGAUUUAUUGGGCGUAAAGAGCUCGUAGGCGGUUCAGUAAGUCAGGUGUGAAAUCUUUGGGCUUAACCCAAAGCGUGCACUUGAUACUGCUGUGACUUGAGUUCGGUAGGGGAGUGGGGAAUUCCUAGUGUAGCGGUGAAAUGCGUAGAUAUCAAGUGGAACACCAGUGGCGAAGGCGAGUCUCUGGACAUUUCCUGACGCUGAGGCACGAAAGCCAGGGGAGCAAACGGG
RNAcentral lists this ribosomal RNA (254 nucleotides) under uncultured bacterium. Its description in RNAcentral is "partial 16S ribosomal RNA". It matches the Rfam family "Bacterial small subunit ribosomal RNA", at positions 524 to 776 of the family's 1533-position model. The record is from RNAcentral.